AUGCUUACAGAAUUUUUCUCCCCAGGUGCCUGGUCCCAGGUGCAGCUGGUGGAGUCCGGAGGGGGAGUUCAGAAGCCCGGGGGGUCUCUGCGCCUCUCCUGCAAAGCCUCAGGAUUCACCUUCAGCGACUACUACAUGGAGUGGGUUCGCCAGGCUCCUGGGAAGGGACUGGAGUGGGUUGCAAUGAUUCGCAACCCAAGUAAUGGUCUCACAGCAGAGUACAACAGCGCCGUUAAGGGACGAUUCACCAUCUCCAGGGUGGAGUCCAGCAGCACUGUAUACCUGCAGAUGGAUAGCCUGAGAGUCGAGGACACAGCUCAGUAUUACCGUGCCAGAGACACAGUAAUUUCAAACCUCCUGGGCGUCAUACAAAAACCUUGA
Alligator mississippiensis (American alligator) is the source of this 381-nucleotide non-coding RNA. The record is from the annotation of a RefSeq genome assembly. Lineage: Eukaryota; Metazoa; Chordata; Crocodylia; Alligatoridae.